UACGUAGGGAGCAAGCGUUGUCCGGAAUCAUUGGGCGUAAAGCGCGUGUAGGCGGUCACAUAAGUCUGUUGUGAAAGUCGGAGGCUCAACCUUCGAAAGCCGAUGGAUACUGUGUGACUUGAGUACGGAAGAGGAGAGUGGAAUUCCUGGUGUAGCGGUGAAAUGCGCAGAUAUCAGGAGGAACACCAAUGGCGAAGGCAGCUCGCUGGGACGUAACUGACGCUGAGACGCGAAAGCGUGGGGAGCAAACAGG
This 253-nucleotide ribosomal RNA is filed under the name uncultured bacterium. Its description in RNAcentral is "partial 16S ribosomal RNA". It matches the Rfam family "Bacterial small subunit ribosomal RNA", at positions 524 to 776 of the family's 1533-position model. The record is from RNAcentral.